UGAUGCCAGGGUCAAAAGGUCUAAAACCACAUGAGCUUGCUCAUAAGUGGUUGAAAGACCUUGGGACCCGCCCCGAUAUGAGCAUAAAAGUGGGAUGUUAAUCCCACGAUAUGCGAAUAUUGGGCAGGAUUGUGGGAGUGCGCAGCACGGAACAAUCCGCAGGCAUCA
This 168-nucleotide small RNA is filed under the name Firmicutes bacterium CAG:194. Its description in RNAcentral is "Clostridiales-1 RNA". It matches the Rfam family "Clostridiales-1 RNA". The record is from Rfam by way of RNAcentral. Lineage: Bacteria; Bacillati; Bacillota.